This 3088-nucleotide ribosomal RNA is filed under the name Macrostomum lignano. RNAcentral's name for it is "eukaryotic LSU rRNA". The stretch from base 1504 to 3082 matches the Rfam family "Eukaryotic large subunit ribosomal RNA", at positions 1891 to 3399 of the family's 3401-position model. Lineage: Eukaryota; Metazoa; Platyhelminthes; Macrostomidae. The record is from RNAcentral.
UGCAGGACUGCCUGAGUCCAUCUUGGGUUACUUGGGCAACCUGUACGACGGGGCGGUCACCGAGUUGAACGGGGUUGCUAUUAAGAUUAGUAGAGGGGUUAAGCAGGGGGAUCCUCUAUCACCUAUUCUAUUCUGCUAUGUGAUAGAUGAGUUAAUGGACAACCUAGAUAGCGGUAUUGGGUUCCCGUUGGCAGGGCAUAGAGUCAACGCGGCAGCCUUUGCCGACGACUUGGCUAUUCUGUCUAGGUCUAAAGCCGGUUUGCAGGCGCUCUUGGCAAGCUUGGCCGACUCACUUCUUCCCACUGGGCUUGAGGUGAACCCGGCUAAGUGCUCCACGCUUGCUAUUAUUUGGGACGGGAAGAAUAAGCGUUGGCUGCAUGAUGCCAAGGGGCAGUUUAAGUUUAGGGGGUCUACUCUGCCAGCACUUGGAGUUGAGGAGUCGUAUAAGUAUUUAGGACUUCAGUAUGGUUCAAAGGGCAAGUUGAAGACGGGGCUGGAGUUGCUUAAGGGUAUGCUCAGAGAGUUAAAGGAGGCGCCGUUGAAACCGCAGCAGAGAGUGUUCCUGCUCAGAACAAAUAUUCUACCUAAGAUUAUGUAUUACUUAGUUAAUGGACGCGUGCACCAGUACACUCUUCGCGAGUGUGACAAGUGUGUUCGACGUUUUCUCAGGGAGGUUCUCCAUCUGCCGCACGACACACUCCGGUGUCUGCCUUUCAUGCGUGUGCGAAGGAUGGAGGCCUCGACAUCGACUGUUUUGAGUCGCUUGUCCCAAUGUAUAAAUGGCAGAAGCUGGUGAGCCUCGAAGAGGUUCCGGACAAUUUGGUCCGUGACUUGUCUCAGCUACCUGCCAUUCGCAAGCGGUUUCAACUUAAAGGUGCGCAGACCAGUUUUAAUAACAGAGCGGAGUAUCGGAUGUUCUGGAAGAACAAGUUGCUGGACAAUCUAGAUGGAUUUGGUUUAGGUGAAGCAGCGGACGUUCCUCAAGUCCACUCUUGGGUGACUGAUGGCUCGUCCCUGCUCACAGGCGAAAUGUAUAUUAAGUGCCUUAAAAUUAGGUGGAAUGUUUGGCCGACUGCAGCUCGUGCGUCCAGAGGUAGGAGGCAGGCCCCUCUCUGUGAUGCGGGCUGCAGGCAAAUUGAAGGUUUGGGGCACAUUCUGCAGCAGUGUAAUAGGACUUGGGAUAAGAGAGGGGCUAGGCAUGAUAGAAUUGUUGAGUUUGUUGGUAGUCAGGUGGAACGGCGAGGGUUCAAUGUUAUUAAGGAGAAGUCUUUUGCGACUCCUAGGGGGCAUAGACGACCUGAUCUAAUUAUAUAUAAUAAGGAUAGAGUGUGGAUUGCUGACGUCACGAUCUGUGCGGACAGAGGAGCGGGGCCUAUGGCCCUCGCGAGGGACAACAAGAUCAAGUAUUAUACGGACGAGGAUCUAGCGACUGAGGUCGCGAAGGUGGCGGGCCCUGGUGCCCAGAGCGUUGUUGGCCUGGUUUGGAACUGGAGAGGGUGUUGCGAGAAGAAGACGGAUGAGUGGCUCAAGAAGAUGGGUGUGCCGAUCGAGUCUAGAAGGCUGGCUUCGGUCAGAGUGCUGGAAGGCUCGGUCUGGUGCGCGGAGGUGUUUAGAAAGAGAACUGGAAUAAAUUUCGCGCAGGUUGGUGGUCGCAAUCGGAGCGAGUAAGUGUCGUGUUUGUGGCUCCGGCGUUCGGUAACGUCCGGACCAGUUUCAGGCAUCCGCCCGGCAGUCCCGGCUGGUCCCAUGUAUAUGACGCUGCUCUAUUUAAAGAGUUGGCCGACUUGACCACCUGGACGGGGGGUUGUACCGGUUUUCCAGCGGUUUCCACGCCAUAAAACCAGCUAAUAUGCUACCUGGAUGAUGGGCCAGUAUAGGCUCGGGCAGUAGCCCAAUGUUUCUUCGCGAAACCUUCCGGGACAGCACUUCAAAAAUAGCCAAAUGCCUCGUCAUCUAAUUAGUGACGCGCAUGAAUGGAUUAACGAGAUUCCCACUGUCCCUAUCUACUAUCUAGCGAAACCACAGCCAAGGGAACGGGCUUGGCAGAAUCAGCGGGGAAAGAAGACCCUGUUGAGCUUGACUCUAGUCCGACUUUGUGAAGAGACAUGAGAGGUGUAGUAUAGGUGGGAGCGUCAGCGACUUUGAAAUACCACUACUUUUAUCGUUUCUUUACUUAUUCAGUGAAGCGGGAGCGGCCUUCACGGGCCUCGUUUCUGGUGUUAAACGGCUGGCCCUCGCGGCCGGCCGUGACCUGCUCUGAAGACAGUGUCAGGCGGGGAGUUUGACUGGGGCGGUACAUCUGUCAAAAGGUAACGCAGGUGUCCCAAGAUGAGCUCAGUCAGGACAGAAACCUGGCGUAGAGCAAAAGGGCAAAAGCUCAUUUGAUUUUGAUUUUCAGUACGAAUACAGACCGUGAAAGCGCGGCCUAUCGAUCCCUUUGAUUAAUCAGAGUUUGAUGCAAGGGGUGUCAGAAAAGUUACAGGUAACUGGCUUGUGGCGGCCGUAUAGCGACGUCGCUUUUUGAUCCUUCGAUGUCGGCUCUUCCUAUCAUUGUGAAGCAGAAUUCACCAAGCGUUGGAUUGUUCACCCACCAAUAGGGAACGUGAGCUGGGUUUAGACCGUCGUGAGACAGGUUAGUUUUACCCUACUGAUGUCUUGUCGUUGCUAUGGUAAUCCUGCUUAGUACGAGAGGAACCGCAGGUUCAGACAUUUGGUUUAUGUGCUUGGUCGAAAGACCAAUGGUGCGAAGCUACCAUCUGAGGGAUUAAGACUGAAAGCCUCUUAAGUCUGAAUCCCGCCCAGAAAUGCAACGAUACUAUCGGUGCCCCUACGCCGGGAGGCAACGAUAUACUCGGCCCGAAAUCCGAUUUCGGCGGCCGAGACUGGCUAAAGCCACUGCGAUACUGGCCACACCCGCUGUCUUGAAAUUUGGCAGUGGAGGCACAGACACGAUACCACUUGAUUGAGACGUAGGGGUUCUAUAUCGUUUGUAGACGACUUAGAUCUCGGUCGGGGUGCCGUACUUAGUUGAGCAGUUCUUCACUGCGAUCUAUUGAGGCUAAGCCUUUUGACGGGGAGAUAUGUCCGC